Long non-coding RNA from Tigriopus californicus, 2058 nucleotides. RefSeq lists it as uncharacterized. The record is from RefSeq and is a predicted model, not a curated record. The transcript is spliced from 3 exons. NCBI's taxonomy places the organism in Eukaryota, Metazoa, Arthropoda, Copepoda, Harpacticoida, Harpacticidae.
AAGUAGCGCGAGUGAUGUUAUUUUGAAAUCUAAUUGAUAAAAAUGUCAAUAAGUCGGAAAUGUAAUAGCAGUUAAAACUACAACAUACCUCGUCGGAGUAAUUGGAAUUUAUGCAAAGGAAAAACAUCUCUUCCUUUGUUAUGUGUCUCUAUGUAUGCAUAAAUAUGAUAUACUUUUAGUGCCCCGCUCAGACGAAUGUGAUGGUGCAAUGGUUAAGGAUGAUUUUUUUCGUUUCAACAAUAAAUUCUUGAUCAUUACAAAGCGCCAUGGAACGGAAAGUGGUACGAUAACAAUGCAAGAAGCAUGUGAGAAUCAUAAUGCCAGCCUUAUUGUCAUCAAAUCAAAAGAAUCAUUUGAAGAAGCCCAAGUACUUGCUAGUUUUCUAAACCAAGAUAACCACGGAAUGAUAGUUGGUCUAUUCCGAGAACCUGGAAAUCAAACAUGGAUCGAUGGCACACCCUUCGAAGACACAAGGGACGUUUUCACUCAAGGGGUGGAUAUUGACAAAUCCGGUUCAGUGGCCGUAGUUUUGAGAAAUGGGAAACUUGAAUCGAGCUAUAGCGCUUAUCAAGGAGUUUGUGCGUCAGAUUGCCCCGUUCACGACGCUCUUCCAGAAUGCUUAGCCAAUGCGGUUGCGAUAAAUGACACUCAAAUCAGGGAAAUUCUGCCUCCGAAAGCAUGCUACAAUGUCAAAGAAAUACGCAGGUUUGAUUGAGCUUGAGGCCCUGGGGUUCAGUUUGUAAAUUAUGCAUGUCUGGGUCUGCUUUUGUGGUGCUCGUUUGGUUGGUUCACAAAAAUAUUCAUUGAAUAUCAAAUGCGAUGAAUGUUUCUAAUCAUCAAGAAGAAUUGCGCACACGCGAUGAUUAUGCUUUCGGUUGUGCCCAGUGUAUUUGUUUUUGAAGCAAUUGAAUCCAACGCCAGGUCCCACAUGUAGUUCCUUUUUCGAGUAUCCUGGAGGAAAAUUGCAACAUUACGCUGCGAAUAAAAAAGAGUGCGAACAAUUAGAGAGCCGAUUAAAAGAGCUAAAUUUCGAAGGGAAAGCAAAGCAAAUAUCACACUUUGAACCUGCUCUUUUAGAGCUGAUCAUGGCAUCAAUUUCAGAUUAUUUUUCGAAACCAUAAAUUAUAACCAGAAAAUUUCGAGCCACUCAUGUGUUGUGCAUUCUUAUUCUACAUAAUUUAGUUGAUCAAAAACCAGAGAGUCAAAGCAAAGACGAUCAUGGAGGCUGUUAUGUCCGGGUGAAUUGAGCGAGGGUUUGAUAAAACGGAGUAAUAUAUAUUUCUGAAGUUAGUAGCAGAGGGAGUUCACAUUCACCAGUCUUACACACAACAACCGACUCCUCCAGGGUUUCUCUCAUCUCCUCAAUUGAGCCGGGUUCUUCAUAUCAUAACAAAGGCAAAGGCGACAAGGAGGUUCAUAAAAUCUAUUGAGUUGACCACACGCCAAAAUGAGUAUCUCAUGAAAAUCGCAUAUCAGCAAUUAGGCAUGGUGCGAUUAUUUCCAUUGCCUCAAAACGUUGAUGUUAUUCUUUUAGUACGUAUAUGCAGGGACUCUGAAGAGCUCUAGUGUCCUUGGUAUAUGUCAUGCUUUUGGUACGUAUGUCCCAGACCAGAACAAACUUCCCCUUUUGUGCCCUUAUGUAUGUUCUUGACGGACAGACAAAUUUAUUGUUAUCUCUCCGAACUGAAUUGGAUGUCUUUUGUUCCAUAUUUAUUCAAACCCUCUACAACAAUUUCCUCCAUUACAAACUCUGUCAAUUGAAAUUUCACCACGUAUAAAUCCUCCACCGAUAACUCAACAAACAGCGAUUUACCCCAAUAGUGACUUCCGUCAAAUUACAUGCCGUCACAUUCUACUUUGCCAUAUGCAACUCCGCCAUGGUAAACUUCUCCGUCUUGAUUUCCGUCGCAUUGGACUCAGCUAUGUGGACCUCCCAUAGUUAUGAAUUCCGUUCUGAUGAACCCGUUUGUCGAUUUCUGGGAUUCUGAAUUUUAUCAGGAAUGAAGAAAACCGUUGCUUAAAGUUUUAAGGAAAGUGUGUAGUGUAAAAUAAGUUCAA